Molecule: transfer RNA, 71 nt
Filed under: human gut metagenome
Rfam family: tRNA
About the family: Transfer RNA (tRNA) molecules are approximately 80 nucleotides in length. Their secondary structure includes four short double-helical elements and three loops (D, anti-codon, and T loops). Further hydrogen bonds mediate the characteristic L-shaped molecular structure. tRNAs have two regions of fundamental functional importance: the anti-codon, which is responsible for specific mRNA codon recognition, and the 3' end, to which the tRNAs corresponding amino acid is attached (by aminoacyl-tRNA synthetases). tRNAs cope with the degeneracy of the genetic code in two manners: having more than one tRNA (with a specific anti-codon) for a particular amino acid; and 'wobble' base-pairing, i.e. permitting non-standard base-pairing at the 3rd anti-codon position.
Source: RNAcentral
AUGCUUAGCUCAGUUGGUUAGAGCACCUGCCUUACAAGCAGGGGGUCAUAGGUUCGAGUCCUAUAGCGUCC